Molecule: ribosomal RNA, 490 nt
Filed under: uncultured bacterium
Lineage: Bacteria
Description: partial 16S ribosomal RNA
Rfam family: Bacterial small subunit ribosomal RNA
Source: RNAcentral
AUUGAACGCUGGCGGCAGGCCUAACACAUGCAAGUCGAACGGUAACAGGAAGCAGCUUGCUGCUUCGCUGACGAGUGGCGGACGGGUGAGUAAUGUCUGGGAAACUGCCUGAUGGAGGGGGAUAACUACUGGAAACGGUAGCUAAUACCGCAUAACGUCGCAAGACCAAAGAGGGGGACCUUAGGGCCUCUUGCCAUCGGAUGUGCCCAGAUGGGAUUCGCUAGUAGGUGGGGUAACGGCUCACCUAGGCGACGAUCCCUAGCUGGUCUGAGAGGAUGACCAGCCACACUGGAACUGAGACACGGUCCAGACUCCUACGGGAGGCAGCAGUGGGGAAUAUUGCACAAUGGGCGCAAGCCUGAUGCAGCCAUGCCGCGUGUAUGAAGAAGGCCUUCGGGUUGUAAAGUACUUUCAGCGGGGAGGAAGGGAGUAAAGUUAAUACCUUUGCUCAUUGACGUUACCCGCAGAAGAAGCACCGGCUAACUCCGUG